RNAcentral lists this ribosomal RNA (490 nucleotides) under uncultured Gammaproteobacteria bacterium. RNAcentral's name for it is "bacterial SSU rRNA". It matches the Rfam family "Bacterial small subunit ribosomal RNA", at positions 904 to 1382 of the family's 1533-position model. The record is from RNAcentral. Lineage: Bacteria; Pseudomonadati; Pseudomonadota; Gammaproteobacteria.
GCCCGCUCAGAAACUACAAGGAAUGACGGGGCCGCACAAGCGGUGGAGCAUGUGGUUAAUUCGAUGCAACGCGAAAACCUUACCUGCCCUUGACAUGUCAGGAAUCUUUCAGAGAUGAGAGAGUGCCUUCGGGAACCUGAACACAGGUGCUGCAUGGCUGUCGUCAGCUCGUGUCGUGAGAUGUUGGGUUAAGUCCCGUAACGAGCGCAACCCUUGUCCUUAGUUGCCAGCGGUUCGGCCGGGAACUCUAAGGAGACUGCCGGUGAUAAACCGGAGGAAGGUGGGGACGACGUCAAGUCAUCAUGGCCCUUAUGGGCAGGGCUACACACGUGCUACAAUGGCCAGUACAGAAGGUUGCCAACCCGCGAGGGGGAGCUAAUCCUCAAAAGCUGGUCGUAGUCCGGAUCGCAGUCUGCAACUCGACUGCGUGAAGUCGGAAUCGCUAGUAAUCGCGAAUCAGCAUGUCGCGGUGAAUACGUUCCCGGGCCUU